AAAAAAUUUAAUUUUUGUUGGAUAUUUUAGUAUAAAAUUUUUAAUAUAUGCACAUUUUUUAAAAAAUUUUUAUUUUUGCAAUAUUUAAAUUUAAAUAUUAGGUUAUUCUAGAUUUAGUAAUUUUAUUUAGUACUAACAAAAUUUGUGCCAGCAGUUGCGGUUAUACUAAUAGUACAACUAAAAUCUUUUGGAUAUGAUUGAUUUAAAAUUUUUUUAUAUUUAAUAUUUUUGGGUGAAAUUUAAAUAUUAAAUUAUAAUAUAAAUUUUUUUGAAUUCACUAAAUUAAUUAAAAAACUAGGAUUAGAUACCCUAUUAUUAAAACUUAAUUUUAUUACCUUAUGAUUAAUAGUUAUUUUCUUUAAAGUAAAAAAAUUUGGCGGUGUUUUAGUCUUUUCAGAGGAACCUGUUCUGUAAUUGAUGAUCCACGAUUUUAUUAACUUAAUUUUUAAAUUUGCAUAUCGUUGUUUAAAACAUUCUUUUAGGGCAUGUUUAUUUAUUUUUUAAUAAUGUAAUUCAGAUCAAGUUGUAGUUUAUAAUUAAGAAGAAAUGGGUUACAUUGAUAAAAAUUUUGGAUUUUAAAUUUUAUUUUUAGAUGAAAUUGGAUUUGACAGUAAAUUUUUAUAAAUAUAAAUUUUGAUUUAAGCUCUAAAAUAUGUACAUAUCGCCCGUCGCUUUCAUUUAAGUUGAAAUAAGUCGUAACAAAGUAGAUUUACCGGAAGGUGAAUCUAGAGGGCA
Molecule: non-coding RNA, 735 nt
Filed under: Cassida viridis
Lineage: Eukaryota; Metazoa; Arthropoda; Insecta; Coleoptera; Chrysomelidae
Source: RNAcentral